Molecule: ribosomal RNA, 449 nt
Filed under: uncultured bacterium
Lineage: Bacteria
Description: partial 16S ribosomal RNA
Rfam family: Bacterial small subunit ribosomal RNA
Source: RNAcentral
AACGAACGCUGGCGGCAUGCCUAACACAUGCAAGUCGAACGAGAUCUUCGGGUCUAGUGGCGCACGGGUGCGUAACGCGUGGGAAUCUGCCCUUUGGUUCGGAAUAACAGUUGGAAACGACCGCUAAUACCGGAUGAUGACGAAAGUCCAAAGAUUUAUCGCCAGAGGAUGAGCCCGCGUAGGAUUAGCUAGUUGGUGUGGUAAAGGCGCACCAAGGCGACGAUCCUUAGCUGGUCUGAGAGGAUGAUCAGCCACACUGGGACCGAGACACGGCCCAGACUCCUACGGGAGGCAGCAGUGGGGAAUAUUGGACAAUGGGCGAAAGCCUGAUCCAGCAAUGCCGCGUGAGUGGUGAAGGCCUUAGGGUUGUAAAGCUCUUUUACCCGGGAUGAUAAUGACAGUACCGGGAGAAUAAGCUCCGGCUAACUCCGUGCCAGCCGCCGCCGUAA